Molecule: long non-coding RNA, 1172 nt
Filed under: Mustela putorius furo (domestic ferret)
Lineage: Eukaryota; Metazoa; Chordata; Mammalia; Carnivora; Mustelidae
Description: lncRNA (ENSMPUG00000024849.1)
Source: RNAcentral
CUGUGCUGACUCUGUCACCAAAGUGCCUUUGGAGUCCAAGAUGGGAGCAAUGACAAGGAACGAGGAUUUCUUUUUUGCACUUACUCCGCAUUGACCCUGAUCCGUUCCAUUAAUUCAGUCCCCAGUUCCUACCCAAAACACACCCCGUCCUUCCACUCCAACACACAGCCAUUUGGGGGCAAGAGAACGGGAAGGAAGAGGGAGAGGGAGGGAAAAAGUGGGAGACCUGAGAGAGGUGUUCAGGGAAGUCUCCCCCUGGUCAGUCCGAAGUGGAGGCCCGGAUUUAAAUCCUCCUUCCCCCUGCCAAGAAAAUAAAAUUAAAAAGAUAAAUAAAUCCUUCUCCCCAAAUGAACCAGGGAAUGCGGGGGCCACAGCGCAUGUCAGUGAGCCACAUUCACCCCUGCCUGAGCUCACUGUUGGACCCCAGCAGCCUGAGCAGCCAUGAGGCCCCACACCUGCCUCCCGACAGGGCUGGCCAGUCCUGUGGGCUAAGGAGCAGGCAGCCUGACCUCCGGGAGAGCAACAAAAACACCGGACUUCCCAGGGCUCUUAGCUCAUAGUCCGAUCCACGGCUUACCUGUCAUUCAGGAAAGUUGUGGCUUUUGGUUUGAAAUUAAUGAUCUGUGUCUCCAAAAGAAAAUUAUCCAAACAACAAAGGGGCUGGUAGCCUGUUAGUCCCACCCCCGAGGUGUUGUUUACUCUGCAUGAAGGCUCAGGUGCCUGCACUCGGGAAAGGCCUGGUGAGAACACAGAGAGAAGGCCACCAACUACAAGCUAGGAAGAUGGUGCUCACCAGAGCCCGGCCACGCGAGCACCCUGACCUCCGACUUCUAGCCUCCAGGACUGCAAGAAGUAAAUGUCUGUCAUGUAAGCCUCACAGUCGAUGGUAUUUUGUUAAGACAGGCCAAGCCAAGGCAAGGGCUUUACAAAUAUCCGAGAACCUAUGUCACUCCCAGAACAACUCAGUGAUGUUAUCCUCAUUUUGUAAAGAAAUAGACUCACGGAGGUUGGGGGACCAGCACGAGCUGGCGAAAGGGCAGAGGCAGGAUAGGAACUCUGAUCUUUUGACUUGGUCAUUUCCCUUCCUGUUCUCCUGGGGCUACCUUGUUUAACCUAGUCCCCAGAUCUCGGGAAGGCAGAAGCUCCCACAGUGCCCGGCAGAGGGGGCAGAG